This 1357-nucleotide long non-coding RNA is filed under the name Gossypium barbadense (sea-island cotton). Its description in RNAcentral is "long non-coding RNA (GBAR_LNC021605)". The record is from RNAcentral. Lineage: Eukaryota; Viridiplantae; Streptophyta; Magnoliopsida; Malvales; Malvaceae.
AAUCAGGCCAAAUUGUCAAAGUGGCCAAAUUUGUAAAAUUUUAAAUACCUAGUUUUAAUUUUUACACUUUAUGAUUUAAUUCCAGUGUAAAAAAAAUUCAGCCCAAGCAGCCCAUUAAAACCCAUGGCCGAAUUUCCCCUUGAAAUUAGUAAUUAGGUUUUUUUUUAGAUUUCCUAAUAGGGUUAGGAAAAUAGUUAGGAGGCUUAUGCGUUCAAAAGUAAAUGGAACCAUUCAAGAAUUUAUUAGCAGGACCAUAGUUGUGUAAACGAAGAAAAAGAAAAUCAAGAUUCAAUUUCUUGAUUUCAAAAAAAUCAAGAAACCGAAUCUUGGUCAAGUUUUCUGUUUUGAGCAAUUUCAAGAAUCAAGAAAAUCAAGAUUUCAAAUCUUGGAAAUCUUGGUCCAAGAAACCGAAUCUUGCAGCUAACGCGCAUUGGAUCUCUGUUACGAGAAUCAACGAACCAAUUUUGGUAGAAAACGGAAUACAAGCCUAAGUUCUUGAAGGCAAGGCCCAAUAAGACGUUCCAAGCCCAAUCAGGAAAUUUAAAUAAGACUUAGUUGAAAAUCAGGCCAAAUUGUCAAAGUGGGCCAAUUUGUAAAAUUUUAAAUACCUAGUUUUAAUUUUUACACUUUAUGAUUUAAUUCCAAUGUAAAAAAAAAUUCAGCCCAAGCAGCCCAUUAAAACCCUUGGCCGAAUUUCCCCUUGAAAUUAGUAAUUAGGUUUUUUUUAGAUUUCCUAAUAGGGUUAGGAAAAUAGUUAGGAGGCUUAUGCGUUCAAAACUAAAUGGAACCAGUCAAGAAUUUAUUAGCAGGACCAUAGUUGCGUAAACGAAGGAAAAAGAAAAUCAAGAUUCACUUUCUUGAUUUCAAAAAAAUCAAGAAACCGAAUUUUGGUCCAGUUUUGCUGUUUUCAGUAAUUUCAAGAAUCAAGAAAAUCAAGAUUUCAAAUCUUGGAAAUCUUGGUCCAAGAAACCGAAUCCUACAGCUAAGGCGCAUUGGAUCUCAGUUACGAGCAUCAACGAACCAAUUUUGGUAGAAAACGGAAUACAAGCCUAAGUUCUUCAAGGCAAGGCCCAAUAAGACGUUCCAAGCCCAAUCAGGAAAUUUAAAUAAGACUUAGUUGAAAAUCAGGCCAAAUUGUCAAAGUGGCCGAAUUUGUAAAAUUUUAAAUACCUAGUUUAAAUUUUUACACUUUAUGAUUUAAUUCCAAUGUAAAAAAAAUUCAGCCCAAGCAGCCCAUUAAAAGCCUUGGCCGAAUUUCCCCUUGAAAUUAGUAAUUAGGUUUUUUUUAGAUUUCCUAAUAGGGUUAGGAAAAUAGUUAGGAGGCUUAUGCGUUCAAAAGUAAAUGGAACCAUUCAAG